RNAcentral lists this ribosomal RNA (467 nucleotides) under uncultured bacterium. RNAcentral's name for it is "partial 16S ribosomal RNA". It matches the Rfam family "Bacterial small subunit ribosomal RNA", at positions 28 to 506 of the family's 1533-position model. The record is from RNAcentral.
GACGAACGCUGGCGGCGUGCUUAACACAUGCAAGUCGAACGGAAAGGCCCUGCUUUUGUGGGGUGCUCGAGUGGCGAACGGGUGAGUAACACGUGAGUAACCUGCCCUUGACUUUGGGAUAACUUCAGGAAACUGGGGCUAAUACCGGAUAGGAGCUCCUGCUGCAUGGUGGGGGUUGGAAAGUUUCGGCGGUUGGGGAUGGACUCGCGGCUUAUCAGCUUGUUGGUGGGGUAGUGGCUUACCAAGGCUUUGACGGGUAGCCGGCCUGAGAGGGUGACCGGCCACAGUGGGACUGGGAUACGGCCCAGACUCCUACGGGAGGCAGCAGUGGGGAAUAGUGCACAAUGGGCGGAAGCCUGAUGCAGCAACGCCGCGUGCGGGAUGACGGCCUUCGGGUUGUAAACCGCUUUCGCCUGUGACGAAGCGUGAGUGACGGUAAUGGGUAAAGAAGCACCGGCUAACUACGU